RNAcentral lists this RNase P RNA (353 nucleotides) under Gammaproteobacteria bacterium. Its description in RNAcentral is "RNase P RNA component class A". It matches the Rfam family "Bacterial RNase P class A". From Rfam's summary of the family: Ribonuclease P (RNase P) is a ubiquitous endoribonuclease, found in archaea, bacteria and eukarya as well as chloroplasts and mitochondria. Lineage: Bacteria; Pseudomonadati; Pseudomonadota; Gammaproteobacteria. The record is from RNAcentral.
GGAGUUGGCCAGACAGUCGCUCUUCCCCUGAGUGGGGAGGGAGGAAAGUCCGGACUCCAUAGGGCAGGGUGCCAGGUAACGCCUGGGCGGCGUGAGCCGACGGCAAGUGCAGCAGAGAGAAGACCGCCGAUGGUCCUCAGGGAUCAGGUAAGGGUGAAAGGGUGCGGUAAGAGCGCACCGCACCGCUGGUAACAGUUGGUGGCAAGGUAAACCCCACCCGGAGCAAGACCAAAUAGGGGAGCUGAGGUGCGGCCCGCACUGCUCCCGGGUAGGUUGCUAGAGGUCGAUGGUGACAUCGAUCCCAGAUGAAUGGCUGUCUACGACAGAAUCCGGCUUAUCGGCCAACUCCCCCC